Non-coding RNA from Grammomys surdaster, 473 nucleotides. The record is from the annotation of a RefSeq genome assembly. Lineage: Eukaryota; Metazoa; Chordata; Mammalia; Rodentia; Muridae.
UGUCCUCUCCACAGUCCCAGAAUACACUGUCUCUAAACAUGGGAUGGAGCUGGAUUUUUCUCUUGCUCCUGUCAGUAACUGCAGGUGUGCACUCCCAAGUUCAGCUGCAACAAUCUGGAGCUGAGCUGGUGAGGCCUGGGGCUUCAGUGAAGUUGUCUUGCAUAGCUUCUGGCUACACCUUCACUGACUAUACUAUGAGCUGGGUGAAGCAGAUUCCUGGACAGGGCCUGGAAUGGAUUGGAUGGAUUUUACCUUACUAUGAUCAAACUAAGUUAAAUGAGAAGUUCAAAGGCAAGGCCACCUUGACUGCAGACAAAUCCUCCAACACAGCCUACAUGGAGCUCAGCAGUCUGACAUCUGAGGACUCUGCCGUCUAUUACUGUGCACAGUAUUGCAACCACAUCCUGAGUGUGUCAGAAACCCUGGAGGAGAAGCAAGCUGCCGUAGGACUCAGAUUACUCAGAGAAGAUUAG